UGCCCGGAGCAGGGGGAUAAGCGGAAGAAAUUCCGUCUAAUACCGCGUAAUGAGGCGGGGAGGCAUCUCCCCGCUUCCAAAGAUUUAUCGGCUCCGGAUGGUCAUGCGGCGCAUUAGCUGGUUGGCGGGGUAACGGCCCACCAAGGCGACGAUGCGUAGGGGUUCUGAGAGGAAGGCCCCCCAUACUGGUACUGAGACACGGACCAGACUCCUACGGGAGGCAGCAGUGAGGAAUAUUGGUCAAUGGCCGGGAGGCUGAACCAGCCAAGUCGCGUGAGGGAUGACGGCCCUACGGGUUGUAAACCUCUUUUGCCGGGGAGCAAGAACCGCCUCGCGCAGGCGGACUGAGAGUACCCGGAGAAAAAGCAUCGGCUAACUCCGUGCCAGCAGCCGCGGUAAUACGGAGGAUGCGAGCGUUAUCCGGAUUCAUUGGGUUUAAAGGGUGCGCAGGCGGGCGGUCAAGUCAGCGGUAAAAUCGUGGGGCCCAACCCCAUCCCGCCGUUGAAACUGGCCGUCUUGAGUGGGCGAGAAGUAUGCGGAAUGCGUGGUGUAGCGGUGAAAUGCA
RNAcentral lists this ribosomal RNA (565 nucleotides) under uncultured bacterium. Its description in RNAcentral is "bacterial SSU rRNA". It matches the Rfam family "Bacterial small subunit ribosomal RNA", at positions 127 to 690 of the family's 1533-position model. The record is from RNAcentral.